GUGUGCUAUUGCCCGGUCGGUGUUGUAGUAUCACUGUUUGUGUGUUUUCACUCAUCGGUAGUUGUCGGUUAGGCUGUAGUAUGUGUGUGAUCAUGUUUGCUGGCUGGAGUGGCUGUGUGUGCGGGUGGCUAGGCCAGCAGUUCGUAGUAAGUGUUAAGUCCAGAGUUAGCAAAUGUCCUGGCUGGGUAGUAGGCUUGGGGUUAUCGGGAGAUCUGGAGUCACUCCAAGCGGG
Pelobates cultripes (western spadefoot toad) is the source of this 232-nucleotide non-coding RNA. NCBI's taxonomy places the organism in Eukaryota, Metazoa, Chordata, Amphibia, Anura, Pelobatidae. The record is from the annotation of a GenBank genome assembly.